AAAAGAUAAGCUAAAUUAAGCUAUUGGGUUCAUACCUCAAUCAUAAAGAAUUUCUUUUCUUUUUA
Molecule: transfer RNA, 65 nt
Filed under: Hoplosaenidea subcostata
Lineage: Eukaryota; Metazoa; Arthropoda; Insecta; Coleoptera; Chrysomelidae
Description: tRNA-Met
Source: RNAcentral